UACGGAGGGUGCAAGCGUUGUUCGGAAUCACUGGGCGUAAAGGGCGUGUAGGCGGUCCGCUAAGUCUGAUGUGAAAGCCCGGGGCUCACCCCCGGAAGGGCAUUGGAAACUGGCGGACUCGAGUCCCGGAGAGGAAGGUGGAAUUCCUGGUGUAGCGGUGAAAUGCGUAGAUAUCAGGAGGAAUACCGGUGGCGAAGGCGGCCUUCUGGACGGUGACUGACGCUGAGACGCGAAAGCGUGGGGAGCGAUCCGG
This 253-nucleotide ribosomal RNA is filed under the name uncultured bacterium. RNAcentral describes it as "partial 16S ribosomal RNA". It matches the Rfam family "Bacterial small subunit ribosomal RNA", at positions 524 to 776 of the family's 1533-position model. The record is from RNAcentral.